This 253-nucleotide ribosomal RNA is filed under the name uncultured bacterium. RNAcentral describes it as "partial 16S ribosomal RNA". It matches the Rfam family "Bacterial small subunit ribosomal RNA", at positions 524 to 776 of the family's 1533-position model. The record is from RNAcentral.
UACGGGGGGAGCAAGCGUUGUUCGGAUUUACUGGGCGUAAAGGGCGCGUAGGCGGCGCAACAAGUUACUUGUGAAAUCUCCGGGCUUAACCCGGAGCGGCCAAGUGAUACUGUCGUGCUAGAGUGCGGAAGGGGCUACUGGAAUUCUCGGUGUAGCGGUGAAAUGCGUAGAUAUCGAGAGGAACACCUGCGGCGAAGGCGGGUAGCUGGGCCGACACUGACGCUGAGGCGCGAAAGCCAGGGGAGCGAACGGG